CUCACGCACAGCCAGGAGCAAGUAGGGCUGGAUUAACAGGGUGUGCCCUGCGGCCUCCCGGCCUUUCUUUGGCUGCUCCUCUCCAGGGAGAGCCUCCUGCUUUGAGCCAAAGGCUUCCUUUCAGCACAGACCUGUGCGGUGCCAGCCACUGUGACCUCCUAGGGCCAGGUCGGUGGUGGUGGUGGGGGCCCAGGGCGGUUUCCUAGGGGUGUGACAGGACUCCUGCCUCCCCUGCCUUCCUGGGUCCUCCCCUGGGCUCGAAUUCUGCUGGGACUCUGCCUGGCCCUUCUGACCUAAUUCCAACUCACUUGCUGGGUUUUCUUGUUUUCUCCGACUCCGACUCUGCUCCGCGAGGCUGUUUUAUCACCGGGCGAUUUUAAUCUUCGUGCAGAGACUUUCUGUGGUUUCCCAUUUUCUGUUUCCUUUGAAUUUCAGCCAACGCCCGGGUGAGGUGCUGGAUCCGCUGGCUGUUUGUUGAAUUAUUCAAGGGGCUCCUGUAUUAUUCCCUUUGUGACUGCCCAUAUGGUUUCUUGCCAGAGGUGUGACUUACACGGUAAGCUGAUGGCCUACUGUGUGUCGGGUACAGACGAAGCAAAGGCUACGCAGGCAGCUUUGCCCCAAGAGAAGCUUGCUCUCGGUGGGGCCACGGCACGCUCACAGGAUCUGAGACAAUGGGUGUAAACACCACGGCCAACAGGCGAGGGGGGUGCUGCCAAGGAGAAGUCCGGGCCAAAGCGGGGAGCUGGGGGAUUCUCGAUGCCGUUGGAGAGUCCAACAACUUCAGUUCAUUUGUUCAGUCAGCAGAUACUUGCUAGAUGCUAUUCUCUGUAUUGGGAAUACAGCAAAGGAGGCCCUCACCCAUUCAUCUACGCAUCUCCCAUCCAUUUACUAUCCAUUCGUCCAUCCCUCCAUCCGUCCACCCACACGCCCACACAUAUAUGCAUGCAUCUCUCCAUCCGCCAUUCAUUCACCUGCCCAUCCGUGCUCCAUCCACUCAUGUGUCCAUGCAAACAUCCACCCACCAUUUCUUCAUGCAUCCAUCUAUCCAGCCCAUACACCAUUCAUCCAUCCCUCCAUCCACCCAUCUACCAUUCUCCAUCCAUCCAUAUCCAUCCAUCUGACCAUCUAAUGUUCAUUCAUCCACCUGUCCACUCAUCCAUCCAUCCAUCCUUCCUUCCUUCCAUCUGUCCAACCAGUCAUCCAUGCAUCCAUCCAUCCACCAUUCGUCCAUCCACCUGUCCAUUUAUCCACCCAUACGCUCUCCCAUCUACCAUGCCUCCGCCAGUCCAUCCCUCCAUGCAUAGACAGAUCCACUCUAAUACCUUCACACAGACAUUCCUUCAGAUGCCGUGGAUAAAGCAGUAAACAGAACAGACCCUACUGUCAUGGAGCUUGGUGAGCAAGAAGAGUGAGAUUGGCCUAUAGUAAAGCAGAGGAUGGUGUCCAAAGGACACGAGUCCUCCCCAAAAUAAACAAGAUAAUUUUAGCUGAUGACAACUUCUAUGGAAAAUAAAACAGAGAGAAAGGACAAAGUGUGGCUGAGGGAAGAGAGGACCGUUUGUCCAUUACAGGGCCACCAACAGCCUGGGCAAGACAGGGCUCCACCCGCCCCACCCAGAAGGGAGCAGUGCUUCAGGUGGUGUGGGGGCAGGACCGGUCCUCACGUCUCUGAGUGACGACCUGGGGCCGGGUGUUUGAGGCCAAGCAGUGCCGCCUGUCCCUCACAGGUGGGGGACUGACCAGCUGGUGUUUGCGGUCCUGCAGGACAAGGACUGAAUGAAUAACGAGUCUGGCCAGCAGUCAGCAGCCUGCAGGACAGGGCCGAGCGCGGCUCCAUUUCCCUUUCUUGGCUGCACAAAUCAAUAAAGGAUUAGACCCGGCUCUUGUCAUUGACAUUGAUUGAUUUUAGAAUUUCAAAGGAUGUUAAUUUUAAGAUGGCAGCAUUUGGGGACAUUUCAUUAU
RNAcentral lists this long non-coding RNA (1962 nucleotides) under Marmota monax (woodchuck). The record is from RNAcentral. Lineage: Eukaryota; Metazoa; Chordata; Mammalia; Rodentia; Sciuridae.